Molecule: microRNA precursor, 125 nt
Filed under: Dasypus novemcinctus (nine-banded armadillo)
Lineage: Eukaryota; Metazoa; Chordata; Mammalia; Cingulata; Dasypodidae
Description: miRNA (ENSDNOG00000040246.1)
Source: RNAcentral
AGUUAGAUUUGAAUUUUAGACAAGCAACUUUUUUCAUUACAUAUACAUGUGUCCCAUGCUAUUUGGGAUAUACUUAUACUAAAAUAUAUAUAUAUAUAUACAUUGUUUAUCUGAAAUUCAAAUUU